RNAcentral lists this ribosomal RNA (934 nucleotides) under uncultured bacterium. RNAcentral describes it as "bacterial SSU rRNA". It matches the Rfam family "Bacterial small subunit ribosomal RNA", at positions 77 to 1013 of the family's 1533-position model. The record is from RNAcentral.
AGCUUGCUAGGUGGAAGGAGAGGCGAACGGGUGAGUAAUACAUAAGCAACCUGCCACGAAGACUGGGAUAAUCCUGGAAACGAGGACUAAUACCGGAUAGGUUACGAAUUCGCAUGAAUUUGUAAUUAAAGGUUAGAAACACUGGUGGAUGGGCUUAUGGUGCAUUAGCUAGUUGGUGAGGUAACGGCCCACCAAGGCGAUGAUGCAUAGCCGGGCUGAGAGGCUGAACGGCCCACAUUGGGACUGAGACACGGCCCAGACUCCUACGGGAGGCAGCAGUAGCGAAUUUUCGGCAAUGGGCGGAAACCCUGACCGAGCAACGCCGCGUGAGUGAUGAAGGUCUUCGGAUUGUAAAGCUCUGUUGUAAGGGAAGAGUGAAUUGGAUAGAAUCCGAUUGUGACGGUACCUUACCAGAAAGCUACGGCUAACUACGUGCCAGCAGCCGCGGUAAUACGUAGGUAGCGAGCGUUAUCCGGAAUUAUUGGGCGUAAAGGGUGCGUAGGCGGCUUGUUAAGUUUAAGGUGAAAGAAUGGGGCUCAACCCCAUAAAGCCUUAGAUACUGGCAAGCUAGAGUACUGGAGAGGGUAGUGGAAUUCCAUGUGUAGCGGUAAAAUGCGUAGAUAUAUGGAGGAACACCGGUGGCGAAGGCGGCUACCUAGACAGAGACUGACGCUGAGGCACGAAAGCGUGGGGAGCAAAUAGGAUUAGAUACCCUAGUAGUCCACGCCGUAAACGAUGAAUGCUAGAUAUCGGGGCAACUCGGUGUCGAAACUAACGCGAUAAGCAUUCCGCCUGUGGAGUAUGCACGCAAGUGUGAAACAUAAAGGAAUUGACGGGGGCCCGCACAAGCGGUGGAGUAUGUGGUUUAAUUCGACGCAACGCGAAGAACCUUACCAGGCCUUGACAUCCCAUGCAAAACUCUAGAGAUAGAGCA